Molecule: non-coding RNA, 77 nt
Filed under: Planctomycetota bacterium
Lineage: Bacteria; Pseudomonadati; Planctomycetota
Description: Planctomycetes bacterium c-di-GMP sequence
Rfam family: c-di-GMP-I riboswitch aptamer
About the family: GEMM was predicted in a large-scale screen for bacterial structured RNA regulatory elements.
Source: RNAcentral
UCCCCGAAAGGGCGAGCGUACCGCAAGGUGCGUGCGCAAAGUCACGGGUCCCCGCAUGGGACAGCCGGACCGCCGAA